ACUCACCAUUGAUUCAUGAGACCAUUAAUACCGUAAUUAUCUAGCCAGGAACCUCAGGCUUGCAUGUUAUCUAUGUACUAUAUAGAGGCCUCAAGAAACCUCAGUCUCAUGCACCCCUUGCCACUUUCUCGUCUCCACAUAGACUAGUUAGCUUUUCUUUCUAGAAGCUGUAGUAUUAGCUGCUGCAUUGAGAUUUUUGUAGAUAUGGCUACUGAUCAAUUUAAGGAUAUUGAAAAUGGUAUUAGUCAUAACAAUAUUCUGGAGGAUUUGGAGAAGCCCUUUAUUCAGAAUGGAAAAAUGGUCGUUUCUGAAGACAGUUCACCAGAGGCAGAUAAAGAAAAUGGUUCAAUUGCCAUGGUGCUGUUGAGCACAUGCGUAGCUGUCUGCGGUUCCUUCGAGUUCGGAUCGUGUGUGGGAUACUCAGCACCUACUCAAUCUGCUAUCAGGGAAGAUUUGAAUCUAUCUCUAGCAGAGUUCUCUAUGUUUGGUUCUAUAUUAACAAUUGGCGCUAUGAUCGGAGGAAUCACAAGCGGCAGAAUUGCAGACUUCGUUGGCCGGAAAGGGGCAAUGAGAAUAUCAGCUGUCUUCUGUGUCAUUGGAUGGCUUGCAGUCUAUUUUUCUACGGGUGCUUUGAUCCUGGAUUUUGGAAGGUUCUGCACGGGAUAUGGGAUUGGAAUAUUUUCUUAUGCAGUCCCCGUGUUUAUAGCUGAAAUAGCUCCAAAGAAUCUUCGAGGAGGUCUAGCAACCAUAAAUCAGCUCAUGAUUGUUUCCGGUUCAUCAGUUGCAUACUUGCUAGGAACCGUCGUAUCAUGGCAAACUCUAGCCCUGACCGGUAUUCUUCCAUGCAUUGUCCUGUUUGUGGGCCUAUUCUUCACCCCUGAGUCACCUAGAUGGCUGGCAAAUGUUGGUCGAGAGAAAGAUUUUCUGGUUGCCUUGAGGAGGCUUCGUGGCAAAGAUGCUGACAUUACUCGCGAAGCUGCAGAAAUUGAAUGGCAGGCUUAUAAUGUUACUCUUCGAAGCCUUCCAAAAUCUCGAAUGCUGGAUUUGUUCGACAGAAAAUACAUACGUUCUGUAAUGAUUGGUGUGGGACUAAUGGUAUUCCAACAGUUCAUUGGAAUAAAUGGAAUAAGUUUCUAUGCUAGCGAAACCUUUGCAGAAGCUGGGCUUUCUUCGGGUAAGACAGGAACAGUGGCCUAUGCCAUAGUCCAGGUACUCCUAACCGUUGUUGGAGCCUUGUUGAUGGACAAAUCUGGAAGAAGACCGCUUCUAAUGGUGUCAGCAUCAGGCACAUUCAUUGGCUGCUUCUUGACUGGUGCUUCUUUCUAUCUCAAGGGCCAGAAUUUAUUGCUUGAAUGGGUGCCAUUGCUUGCUGUCUCUGGAGUACUGAUUUACAUAGCAGCGUUCUCAAUUGGAAUGGGAGCUGUCCCAUGGGUGAUAAUGUCAGAGAUUUUCCCGAUAAACGUGAAGGGUGCUGCUGGAAGCCUGGUGGUGCUGGUGAACUGGAUAGGUGCUUGGGCAGUUUCCUUCACUUUCAACUUUCUCAUGAGCUGGAGUUCCACAGGGACAUUCUUCAUCUAUGCUGGAUUCUGUGUUCUUACUGUACUGUUUGUGGCAAGAUUAGUGCCAGAAACCAAGGGUAAAACACUGGAGGAGGUUCAGGCCUCCAUUAACGGAUAGAAUUGGUAGAUCAUUGUAUUACUUGAUGAGGGUUCAGACAUCUGAGUGAGAUUUCAGCAAAAUUUAUCAUCACAUAUGAUCAGAUUUUAUAGUGAGCAAAAGUCGAAGCAAAAUUUACAUCAUGCAACAAAGCUGGCCGAAAUCUCCUUCUUGACAAAUGCAUAUUUCAGCUCCUGGCAAUAAUGGUGAACAACCAUGUUACUGGAAUUUGCAGGAAGUGUUCCAGCAUUCUGAGAUUUCGACAGAACACAAUAGCAGGAUGGCACGCAAGGCAUUAAGCCAUCAACCGAACAAGGAUUCAUCAUGCGCUACACGGGUGGUCUUUCUCAUGAUCUCAUCAUCCCAUGAAUAAUUCAGCAUGUGGGAUGGAGAAUCUUGAAUGGGCAGCUCAGUUCUGAAUUUUUCUCAGGGAGCCAGCACUAGUCCAGCCCAGUCUUGAGUUAUCGACGAGUGGGCUGAUUUUGAGAACAAUCGAAAAAUUCAAAGCACAGAAAAAGGAAAAAAAGGAAAAAUGUUAUAUGCUCACACAUUUCAGAAUUCUUUUA
Coffea arabica (coffee) is the source of this 2222-nucleotide non-coding RNA. The record is from RefSeq and is a predicted model, not a curated record. Lineage: Eukaryota; Viridiplantae; Streptophyta; Magnoliopsida; Gentianales; Rubiaceae.